Molecule: non-coding RNA, 562 nt
Filed under: Pongo abelii (Sumatran orangutan)
Lineage: Eukaryota; Metazoa; Chordata; Mammalia; Primates; Hominidae
Source: RNAcentral
AUUGUUGGUGGUGGGGGGGGCACCCUGUAUAUUGUAGGACGUUGAGCAGCAUCUCUGACUUCGACCUACUAGAUGCCAGUAUCUCAGUUUUCUUAAAAUACUUUUUUUUUGAAAUGGAGUCUUGCUGUGUUGCCUAGGCUGGAGUGCAGGGGCACGAUGUCGACUCACUGCAACCUCUGUCUCCCCGGUUCAAGCGAUUCUCCUGCCUCAGCCUUCUAAGUAGCUGGGAUUACAGGUGCGCACCACCAUGCCCAGCUAAUCGUAAAAGACUUUUCAUAAAACUUCAGAACUCCUUAAAAACUAGUGAAUAGCCAAGGUGAAGAAAGACCUCAGGCUUCUGACUUUAGACCCCAAUCCCUGGGACUCCCACACUCAGCAAAGAAAGCUGGGUGCCUGCACCCUGGAUUUCUGGGCAGAUCUGUCUUAUGGCUGUGGGCAACUCAGGAACAUGAAUUAGCACUAGAAUCUGGAGUUUUCCUUUUCUUUUCUGGGUCUCACUCUGUUACCCAGGCUGGAGUGCAGUGGCACAGUCAUGGCUCCCUGUAACCUCAACCUCGCAGAC